This 23158-nucleotide long non-coding RNA is filed under the name Citrus sinensis (sweet orange). RNAcentral's name for it is "long non-coding RNA (CSIN_LNC003598)". The record is from RNAcentral. Lineage: Eukaryota; Viridiplantae; Streptophyta; Magnoliopsida; Sapindales; Rutaceae.
UGCAUUUUUUUUGGAGAGAGAAAUUGUUGUUUAAAUAAAUAUUAUCUUCAGAAUUAAAGUGAGUGCUGAUAGCAGCAAGUGAUUUUAUAGUAUAAUUUAAUAGUGUUUACUUAAAAAAGAGUAACAAUAGGAUUUUAGAGAUGUGACAAUCCUUUAGCAAAGUUAUCAUUUAUGUAAUAUUAAUAUAAAACUACAUCUUUCAAGCAUUGCAUUGAAACAUAAUCACAGAAUGCGCUUAUGGUCUUACAAAAACAUGUGCUACGUACUAGCAAGAUGUUAUUAUUGUUACUAUAUAUUGCGGUUCCAUGCAUGCUUGUUGAACAAUUUAUGGAUGACCGUGGCCACCUGGACCUCUCGGAGGUAGUGGUUGAGCCGGUGGAUGAUCAGAUAUAGAACCUGGCGGCGGUGGACGAGCAAAGGAUGGUUGCAAAAGAAGAAGCAUUAUUAUGCAGAAUAACUCUAAAAGAAACCAAAGCAGAUUGUUCAGCUUCAUCUCAUUUCUCAUUUUAAUUGCCCUCUUACCACAUAAGAGUUUUCUAAAGAUGUAUACAAAAUUAUUAGAUGAAUGAGAAGAUAUAAGUUAUUAUAUAGGCCCCUUUCCUUCAACCAUUUUCCAGUCAAUAAAUUAUAAAAACAAACGCUGUCCGAAUGUCAAGUCAAUUUUCAUCUUGAACAAGUCGAAUGCAUAUAUAUUUUUUCCGAUAUUCCUAUCCUAAGUGUGAAUCCAUAAAAGAGGUUGCUGACUUAAUUUUCUUGUUUCUCACUUUAUUUAAUUUUUAUAAAUUUGGCUCACGAUCAAUUAAUUGAAGAGUUUGGUGGAAAUUCAAUUUACUAUAAUCAGAUCAAUGUAAUUUAAUUAUUUUUCUUUUUACUUCAUGUCAUGAAAAUUAUGAAUACUUUGUAGAAUUUAGAGGAUUAAAAAUUCUAAUGCAUAUAAUUUUAUUUUUCAAACUGAAUAAACAUAUCAUUAUUGCUUCUAUAAAUAGCUCAUUUGAACUUAAAACCUAUUACUUGUAUUUUAUGUUUCUGUCUCUUUUCAUAAUUUUUUUUUUUUACUUUUUCUUUCAUUUUCCCGACUCCCAAACAUCACUAAUCCUUGAUUUUUUUGGAGUAUUAACUGCUUGUUCCUCCAAACAUCGACCAACUGUUAGUCUAAUCACUAUCAAGAGACAACGUAUUCUGUAGCGGGGUUUUUCAUUUAUUGUCUUGUUACUUCUGAACGGGACUAAUUAAACCUUUUCAUAGGAAAGUACCAUCCAUUAUACACUUAUUUUGCUUUUCAUUGAAAAUGUUAAUAAUCAUAAUAAAUUAGAUUGAAUUAAUAAUUUUUGCCUCUGUGAUAUAAAUAAUCGGUUUAUUGGAUUUUCUUCUCUUUCAUUGAUUUUGCAACUGUGACUUCUGAGUCGGGUUAAGGAUUAACAAAAAUGUUGUAGCCCACAAAGCACGCAUAAUCAAUGAAUGAACCACACAUUUUUUGUAAAUAUCAGAAUCAAAUGGGUGGUAUCUAUCACAAAUACAAGUCAAGCCACACAAUUUUUCUUGUUAAACUCUACUUAUGGGCACUUGUGAUCCUUGAAUUAUCAAACGAAUAGCAGGAACACUUCAACAUCUGUUGUCAUAGGGAGAGAAGUCCGCUCUCCCUUCGAUGUAAAACGCAGGCAAUUUACAUUGACUUUUCAUCAAAACAAGCAUUGUCCAAUUCAUUUACAAGGGGACAUUCCCCCCAUUCUUGUCUCAUAUGCGGGUGGACACAAGCCGGUUUGAUUCGAGGGCAGAACCAAACUAAGAUCGAAACGAACUGAAACAAAUUAUUUUGGUUCGGUUUUGUUCGGUUUGCUUUGCAUUAAUAAUUUUGAUAACUUUUCUUUUAUAUUUACUAAAAUUUUAGACUUUUCACCUAAAUUUGUAUUCUUCUGUUAAUUCAAUUCAGUUGUCACCAUUACAAUUCAUGAGUUAUACAAAAUAUUAAUGUAAAAUAAUUUUAUAAUAAAUAAAUAUGGUCAUUUAUUGAAAAGUAAUACUUUUUUAUUUUAAACAAUGAACGAACUGUUUCUCCAAUUUACUUUGAACCGAAUUGAAUAAGAACCAUUCGGUUCUUAAAUUUCUAAACUAUUUAGUUUUUUUAUCUAAAAACUGAAUUCAGAAGCGAACCGAAUACUAAGUCCUAGUGUCAUACUUAUCAUAUUUAAAUUUAAAAAUGCCAUCAUAUCAAUAAGGCGAUAUGGAGAUUAUCUCACCUACUUUUUAUGUAUGUAUCUUCAUUACAGAAAAAAAAAUAUAUUCGGUGCUCCUACUCAAUGGCAAAAUCAACAUUCUUUGAUGGACACCAAAAUGAUUAAAGUAUAACUUCAAGUUGGUUUUGACAUAAAAUCGGUGUUGUAAAUAGUGCGUUUGUAUAUUAUAAAAUACAAAUAUUCCCACUAAAAAAGAAUUAUUACAUACAUAUAUUUAUAGUGUUUUUACUCAAUUAACUAUUAUACUAUAUGAUGUAAUAUUCUUCUAUAUUUUUAAUUCAAUAAAUGAUAAUAUGUCACAUUAUUCUAAAACUGGGUAUUAUAUUUAAAAUUCUACAGUACUUAGAGGCUACUAGCCUCUAAUCUUUUGUCAUUAAUUAUUACUUGUUAGAAAAAUUCAGAUGAAGUAUUGUAUUUAAAAUUCCAUGUACUUACAGGCUAUAGCUAGUCAGCCUCUAGUCUUUUUUUCAUUAAUUAUUGCUUGUUAGAAAAUUUAGAUUUUAAUUUGCCAUGAAAAUAUGUAUAGGAUCAUGAUCCUCUACGAUACUUAUAGGUUACAACUACCUAAUCUUUAAUCUUUUACAAGGCUGGCUUUAACCAAUUGGGGCCUUAGGCAAAAUUUUAUUUUAGGUCCUCUAAUAUUAAAAUAUCAACUCCCACAAGAACAUUAAAUAGUUCAAAAAACUCUCACAAGAACAUCAAGUAACUCAAAAUUCAACUAUAUUUAAUAAUAUCUUGAAUUACAAAAAUUAUCAACAAGAUUCCAAAAAACAAAAUAUAGUACGAAAGAUAUCUAUUUAUUUCCACACGAAUAUUAACUGACUUUGUCUUCCACAAAUUCCACCUCCUUAAGAUAGUCUGCAUCUUCAUUAGCUACAACCAUAAUCUUCCUAUGAACUUUAAAUCACUGCUCCUACCUACUAUGAUCCUUGCUUGUUGCAAGCCAUCACUAAUGCAAAUUACUAAUCAAUUAAGUUUUAUUCUUCUUUCUUUUUGUGAUGCAAAAUUAUUAAUUAAAAUGUUAUAUUCUAAUUUAACUAACAAAUAUUUUUCAAUAGCUAAUAUAGCUAAUCCAUUCAAUUUUUCUUGUGACAUUGUAGUUCUUAAAUAAGAUUUUAUUAACUUUAAUUUAGAAAAACUUGUCUCAACAAAAGCAAUUGUUACAGGUACUGUAAAUAAUAUUCUACAAGUAAGAAAUGCAUUUGGAAAAGAAUCUACUUUUUUAAUAUAAUUAAGUAUAUCAAGUGGAGUAUUUCUUUCAAUAUGUAAAACUUCUUUUAAGACUUUUAACUCCGAAAACAAAUAUAAUCCAUCAAUAUCAGAAAACAUAUCAUAUUUCAAGAUAUUUUCAAGAUUAGUAAAAUAACAUUUUAAACUUUCAUCAUCUAAUGAUUUUAAUUUUUCAAAAUUAAAUAAAAAUCUGAAAAUAUUUUCGUAGAAUUGAAGCUGCUUGAAUCUAUUGCUGAUUGGAGAAAUAUCUUGAUCUAUUACAUAUACAAAGUAAUCAAUUCUAAAAGAAUCUUUGGGAGAUAAAAUUCUCUCUUCCUACUAUGAUCCUUGCUUGUUGCAAGCCAUCACUAAUGCAAAUUACUAAUCAAUUAAGUUUUAUUCUUCUUUCUUUUUGUGAUGCAAAAUUAUUAAUUAAAAUGUUAUAUUCUAAUUUAACUAACAAAUAUUUUUCAAUAGCUAAUAUAGCUAAUCCAUUUAAUUUUUCUUGUGACAUUGUAAUUCUUAAAUAAGAUUUUAUUAACUUUAAUUUAGAAAAACUUGUCUCAACAAAAGCAAUUGUUACAGGUACUGUAAAUAAUAUUCUACAAGUAAGAAAUGCAUUUGGAAAAGAAUCUACUUUUUUAAUAUAAUUAAGUAUAUCAAGUGGAGUAUUUCUUUCAAUAUGUAAAACUUCUUUUAAGACUUUUAACUCCGAAAACAAAUAUAAUCCAUCAAUAUCAGAAAACAUAUCAUAUUUCAAGAUAUUUUCAAGAUUAGUAAAAUAACAUUUUAAACUUUCAUCAUCUAAUGAUUUUAAUUUUUCAAAAUUAAAUAAAAAUCUGAAAAUAUUUUCGUAGAAUUGAAGCUGCUUGAAUCUAUUGCUGAUUGAAGAAAUAUCUUGAUCUAUUACAUAUACAAAGUAAUCAAUUCUAAAAGAAUCUUUAGGAGAUAAAAUUCUCUCUUUGUUAUUAUUCUCACUAAAUUUAUUUUUUCUACAAAUUAUACAUUUUUCAUGAAAUUUUGGUUCUAUUUCCAUUUCAUUUGCAAUCUCUUUAGAUGAAAUCAUAGUAGAGACAAAACCAUUUUCUUUGUAAUCCUCGACAGAUGUACAUAAGACAUCUUAAUUGAUUUAUGGCAACAUCAAUUUGCAUAUCUUCCUUCUGUAAACUUUAACUAACAGUGUUCACAACAAAUAAUAUAUCAUACCAAAUAAUCAUACCUAACAAAAAUUCAAAGUUUUCCAUUUCAUAUGUUGCUAAACGUUUAGUUUCGCUUUUUAUUUUAGGAUCUUCACCAACUUCUACUAAUUGAAGUAAAGCAUCUCCAAUUUGGGGUGCUUGAAAUCUUAUUGCUUUGACACUUUCUAUACGACUCUCCUAACGUGUUUGUGACAAUGAUUUAACAAUUAAAUUAGGUAUAUUAUCUUGUAAAAUUUUUCAUCUCUUAGGUGAAGAAGAAAAUAGUGAAUAAACACGUUGAACAACUCCAAAAAAUGAAAUAACUUUAGGACAAGAAUUAGCCACAUCACAAAGUACUAAGUUAAUACUACGACAUCCACAUGGUAUAUAAAAUGCUCUGAGAUUUAUUUCUAAUGAUCUUUUUUGCACACCUUGAUUUUUUUUUCCUUUCAUAUUAAAUCCAUUAUCAUAUCCUUGUCCUCUUAUGUUAUUAAUAUCAAGUUCAAGAGUUUUAAUUACAUCCACAGUUGUUCUGUUAAGUUCAUUAUUUAUAGAGUUGGCAUCUUAUGGCAAGUCUAGUUAAAUUGGAAUUUUAUUUAUCACAUAUCUUGUAAUAAUGAUUAAUUUAUUAAUUCCCUAAUUUAGUGAGAUUCCAAUUUAUUAGGAAUAUUUAUUUCCUAAUUUAAUUAGAUUUCUAAUUUAACAAGUCAAUUAAUGAUGAGAUUCUAUAAUUGACGCAUGAGAUCUAUUUACAACAAGAAGUUGGUUCAAAUAAGAAGUUUAUUAAAUGCUCUAGAUGUUUCUUUGGAGACAAACAAAAUAAAAAGAUCAAAUUUAUUCAUAUUCAGAUUCAUAGGAAUUAUAAGGAAAAGAAAAUCUUAUUUGGAAAGAAUCCGAGUCUUUUAAGACUUACUAUUUUUGUGAAACCCUAGUGCCUAUAUAAAGAGAUGUAUUUCACAAUUAAAGGUAUGCAACAUAGAGUAAAAAGUAGAGAAGCAAAAUUCGGCCUCCUCCUUAGAGAAUUAAUCUCUUGUUCCUUCAUCAUUAAGCUGAUUUUUGCUACAAUUUGUAUUGAGUAAUUGCAACAAAAACAAUAUACUUUGUCAAAAUCCGUUGACUAUAUUAACCAUUUUCUAUCAUGUUUUUCUCCAUUUGGUAAUUUUGACAUGAAAUGCAGUAGAGAAAUGUCUAGGACUAAAUGUUGUGUUGAUUUGUUUUCUUAUCUUCUUUCAUCUCUGUGGAGAGUCUAUGUGGAUCUUAUAUCACUAGACAAUAAAGAAUUGAAUGAUUGCUAUUGAUCACUUUGCGAAGUGUCUUAAGGAUCGUGGAUCAAGAGGAGUAAUGAUUAUUUAAGAGAAGCAGAUUCAGUCCAAGGUUGAGUAAACUGUAUGGUGAUAAACCGUUAGUGAGAGUCUUAAGUAUGGUAAAUUUAUAGGUUAUAACAUCGCAACUUAGUGAAUUACUUUUCAUCUGGGCGUGGCCUUGUAGAUGUAGAAUUGAUUAAUCCGAAUAACGUAAAAAUCUCCGUGUCAUUUAUUUUUUGCAAUUUAUUGUGUUUUUUAAAAAAUUAAUAUUUUUUAUGUGGAUGAACAGUAACGUGAACAAUAACAGUGAACAUUAUUUUCAAAAUUUAUUUAAGUUGUUAAUUCUAGGGUUUUAAUUGCCUACAUCUAUUUGCAAUAGAUUUAAAUUCAUUUUAUGUUCAAUAACUAAUUUUCACUUAAAUUUAUAUCUUUUUUACUAGUUGUGACAAAUUUAUCAAGAGCUCCUUUCUAGAUUAUUCAAGCCAUGAUCAAUACGAAAAAUAAAAAAAUAAAUUAUAUUUUAAAAGGAUAAGAACAGUAAUAAUUAAAAAUAGAAAAAAAUAGAAUGAUAGCACUUAGAAUUGAGCUAAUUGACUAGUUGAGAUGAAUAUGAUGAUGGCAAUUAAUUUUGUAGCGAAACAUAAGAGAGCACAACUUUGUGUUGAAAGUAUCCUUAAUUCAAUGUAUUUUAUUAUGCCAACAAUUAAACUUUAGUGGCUUAAAUAUAUCAAUGAAUUAAUAUAGGAAGGAAUGUUCCUUCAUCUUCCUUCAAUAAUGCUUAAAUAUAUUUUAAUAGAAUACUAAAAGUUAGCUCUCAAAAAUCUAACGUUACUAAUUUUUUUGAGAGCUAUUUUUGGAAAGGAAAAGCAUUAGUUUUUUUUUUUUUGAAAUAGUAAAAAAAAAAUAAAGAAGUAACAUUCAAAAUAACUAUUAUACCAAAAACAUAUAUCUUAUAUUCCAUGUAAAGAUCUAUAUAUCUAUAUAAAGCUGAGACUUGAGGAGGUGAUGUGGCAUCACCAUUUCUCAUCAUCUCAUAUUCUCUAUUAUCUACUAAAUUGGUUGAAAUUAAAAAAUAAUUACAUUACAAAAUAUUAAAAUAGAAAAUAAUUAUUAGAUUAUAAAUGAUUACAUGUCUUUUCCUCUUUCUAUUUAAAUUCAACAAUAUGUAACCAUUAAUAAUAAUUAAUUAUAAGUCUUGAAACAUUCAUUUAUUUUAUUAUGCCAACAAUUAAAUUUUAGUGGAUUAAAAUACAUCAAUUAAUUAAUAUAGGAAGAAAGGUUCCUUCAUCUUCCCUCAACAAUGCCAUUAGAGCCUAAUUUUAAUGUCAUAAUCUCAUAUUUAAUUAUUCAAUCUUUUGUUUAGUGCCUUUUGGUUUCUUCAAACUCCAUAAACAUUAAAUAUUUAAGAUUUAAGAUUUGUGGCAUUAUUAUUUCUCAUCUUUUUUUAUUCUCUAUUAUCUAAUAUAUUGGUUGAGAUUAAAAAAUAAUUACAUUACAAAAUAUUAAAAUAGAAAAUAAUUAUUAGAUUAUAAAUGAUUACAUGUCUUUUCCUCUUUCUACUGCUGUACCGUACAUCCGCCUUGGCCGUACAGCAGUUUUUUUUCUUAAUUUUAUUAAAUAAUUUNNNNNNNNNNNNNNNNNNNNNNNNNNNNNNNNNNNNNNNNNNNNNNNNNNNNNNNNNNNNNNNNNNNNNNNNNNNNNNNNNNNNNNNNNNNNNNNNNNNNNNNNNNNNNNNNNNNNNNNNNNNNNNNNNNNNNNNNNNNNNNNNNNNNNNNNNNNNNNNNNNNNNNNNNNNNNNNNNNNNNNNNNNNNNNNNNNNNNNNNNNNNNNNNNNNNNNNNNNNNNNNNNNNNNNNNNNNNNNNNNNNNNNUCAUAUUUAAUUAUGCAACAUUUUAUUUAGUGUCUUUCGGCUUCUUCAAACUAUAUAAAUAUUAAGUAUUUAAGAUUUGUUAUGUUUGAGUUUUUUUUUUAUUAUUUAACCAACAUCCUCUUUAGAAAUGUUCUUGUGUUUUUAUUUUUUGACUUAUUUAAAUUUUUUGUAUUGUGUGCUUCAUGGAGUAUUCUUUUCUUCAUGAGUUAAACAAUAAUAAAGAUAGUUGGAUAAUAAGGGUUAGACUUUGUUAAAUACGAGAGUCUGUUAAUACCAAGAAGAAUGGAGAGUUGAUUAGUGUGAACAUAAUUUUUAUUAAUGAAAAGGUUGUGUACACUUAACUAUACACAUUAAUAUAUAUUUUUAAAGUUAACAAAAAAAUAAUUAACUUUCAAAAAUAACAUUAGUUUUAUAAGGUUGCGUCAUCUUUUAAAAAAAAUCAAUUCAUAUUUUUUAUCAGUUUAUCAAGUAUAAAGUAAUAAAAAAAUAAUACUAAAUUCUUUUUUUAAAGCCGCACGAAGUGCGGUUCUAUUUCCUAGUUAUCAAAUAAGAGAGAUAAGUAUGAAUGAGAGUAAUAAUAGGGUAAAGCAAAAAAAUUAGUCUCUUCUAUUGUAGAAAAAAAAUAUAUGCCUAACUUAAUUUUUUUAAUCUUAAAAAAAUUAAUUAUACUAAUUAAUAAAUAAAUACCCAAAAAAUUAGGUUUUCCUAAAUACAGGGCCCUAAGCAACUGCCUAGUUCUCCUAGUGCUAAAGUCACCACUGAUCUUUUGUCACUAAUUAUUACUUGUUAGAAAAUUCAUAUUGUUAAUUUGCCAUGAAAAUAUACAUGAUCAUUUUCUAAUCUAAUUUUUGUAAGGUUUGCAGGAGAUUAAUACCUUUGUAAUUUUAGUUUUGCGAUGGAUAAAUUUUUUGAAAUAAAUUUUAGGCCAUGUAGCAUUAGUAAAGAUAAGGGGUUUUGACUUUUUUACACUAUAAAACUCAUUUACCUGAACUAGGUUUUGUGCACUUAUUAUUCAUGUAAAUAUAAUUUUAUUAAUCAUUUUAUAUAUACUUCAUUAAUUUAAAUCAAUAUAUAUACCUUCCACUACUUUUAGCGACCUUUGCCUCUGAUAUUGGCUCUACUAACAGAUGCUAAAACAAAUCUCAUCCUUUCAAUUUUUAAAACUUAUAAGCUUCAAAUCUAUAGAAAAAGUAGAUUUUAAUAAAGAAAUUAACCCCCAAAAAAAACUCAUAAGCUAUCAUAGAUUAAGAUGGCUAGCUGGAAAUAAAACUAACACAUAUUUACAAAUAUUAUACGAGCAAUAUUAAGCAUCCUAACAUCGAAGUCUUAAUUUGAGUUUCAACUGACAUGACAUUAAUUCAUUCAAUGAUAAUUAAGUAAUUUUAUAAACUAUAAAAUUCAUCAUUCAAUGGCUGAGUAAGGCAUGCAUUAAACUUAACUUGGGGCUCAAAUGUUAAAAUUCUUAACUUUAUUGAUAAUAAUACUACAUCUAGAUGGAAAUAAAAUCACCAAAAAUCUAUGUAUUUGGGUGGAAAAUUGGAAAUAUAACACUUUCAAGUUAAAAACUAAAAGAAAGUACUAAAAUUAAAAAGAGGGUGUUAACAGGAGAGGAAGUAGAAGCUUCCUCCCCCUGAAGUAUAUGGAUGCUUUUGCUGUGAAGCAAAGAUGAGCACAGAGAGAGACAGAAAGAGAAAAGUAGCUUCCACUUGUUAUAAGAUUCCACUUAAAUUUGCACAAAUAACUAUCAGGCAACUAAUCCAAAUAAGUGAAGCUCUCAAAGGACGAAUAUACCAAUAAAAAAUAAUGUUUUUUUUUUCACGUAUGGAGACAGCGGCGAACGCAAUAGACAAUCUUUGAUGUGACCUGUUGUACGACCAACGGGUGGAUAUUUACGAAGAAGCAAUAUGCAGCGGCACAUGUACAACGUUACAGGAAACAAUAGCUGCUUCAUCUCCCCGUCUCUCUCAAUCCUAUAGAUCCUUUAAUUACUUCAAUUUUGCUGUAUCCGCUGGCUGGCCGUCUCUUCGAGAUCGUGCAAAUUUGAAGUUAUAUAUAGAUGUUUAUAUAGGCCGUUUAAUUGCAUCCAACCAUCCAUGCGUUCCAUUAAAAAACAUGGAACACAAAUAAUCUAGAUAUUUUGGCUGAAAUUCCAACCCAAAAAUAACGCUGAGUACAAGAAAUGUUGGAAACUGCGGCUACUUUUGGUAUUGUGCCAUUGUUAUACGAAAUAAAAGUUAAUUAACGAUGUUAUGAUAAUUUUGAUAAAAUAAUAAAAGAUCAAACAACUGUAUACAGUAUAAAAUCACCUUAGUUUCUACAUUAAGUAUUUUACUAAACACUUUAAAGAUACAGUUUUAAAUUAAGUGAUCCUAUCUAGAACUAAACUCACAUGAACUUUUAAAAAUAUAUGGGUAUAAGAUUUAACUCUUUUUAUUUAUUUAUUAACCACCAAUCACCCUUUGGUGAGUUCCUCCUUUUCUUUUCUUUUUUUCAUUAAUCAAUAAAUGAAAUUAUAAAGUUUAAUCUAAUUUUUAUUAUAAUAAUAAUAAUAAUAAUAAUAAUGGGUAUUUAGAGAUGAGGGGUCCAGGAGUAGUACCAGAGAGAUGAUGAUGACGGCGGAGGAGAGGAAGGAGGACGAGGCGUUGCACGCUGGCAACCUUAGAAUCGACCUUUGCAAAAUCCCUCUCUAACUUUUCAAAAUUUCUGCUGUACCGUACAUCCGCCUUGGCCGUACAGCAGAUUUUUAUUAUAUUGACAAGUAUUGACUGUAUUACUUUAUAUAAUACAAUGUGUUAUACAAACAACAUGUCAAAAGCGACUUCAAUGUCUAAAUGAUGUUAGAAAGCUUUAAGAUCAGUUUAGUAUUCCUGUUUAAAUAGCGGUUUUGCGCAUAUAUUUUAGGAAAUGUUUUUUUUUGUAUUUUUAGAGUAUUACUCCUUCACUAUUCAAUACUUGCCACAUGAAUAUGAAUAUUAUCAUAAUUGAUUGAAACAUACAUAUUAAUAUUAGUAUGUUACAAGAAAAGAAUGGAAAAAAAGAAUGGAAAAGUAGCACCCAAGACCUCUCCUUAUUCUAGAAGCAUUUUGCCUUUUGCAAAUGACACGUACUGCCCACAUACAUAAACACGCAACAAAUGUAUCAUAUAAAAUUUAAGGGUAUUUUUGGAAUUCAGAAAAUAAUGUCUCUUUCCAGGCUCUUUUGGGCCAAAAAUAUUUUACCUCAAAAUUUGGAAGAGUCCAGCUUAGAACACCUCUUCAAAAUUUUGUUUUGUUCUUAAAAUAUCCUAUUUUCAUUUAUGAAAUACAAACUUAAACAUUAAAAUUAAUAUCUUUCCAUAAAAUUUCACCCUUAAAAAAGUUAUUUUUCUAUUUAUAAAAUUCAUGCAAAUCCUAAAAUUUUUAAUUAUUUUCAUUUUUUUAUAUAAUUUCUAUCUCUAUAAAUCUAAACUCUUAUAAUUUUUUUAAAAUAUAUAGAAGAUAGGGGUACAAUAUUUGUUAAAAUAAUAACUUAUUUAAGUGGUUAAAUAAGGUACAUAUUUGGUAUAACUUAUCUAAUGGUUAUAAGUGCUUAUUUAAUUCCAUAAACUCUUUUCAAUUUUUUUUUUGUUGUUGUUUAGUCGUUUUUAGAAUAGAGUUUUUGAAAAUUAAGUAAAUUAUUUUACCUCCAAUAGUAAAAACUUAAAUUUUGGACUUUAGGGAGUAGAGGUUGAAAAGCUUAUUUAAAAUGUCAAAAUAUUUAAAAUAAAUUUAUUUGAUAAUCUUAUUUCAUUCUUUUUAUAAUUUAACUUUAAAAAAUUAUUUGUUAAAAUAAUCUUAUAAUUUUUAAUAAAAAUUCUCAUUGAUAACCAAAUAACUAAAAAAAAUUUGUGAAGUUCUGCUAAUAAAAAUUCUAUUUAAAUAAAUUUUAUUUAAAAGUUAUACGAAACCGGCUGAAAUUCUAUUCAAAAUAAGAAAUGAAUUAACUUAACAUUAGUUAUUUAAAUAAUUUAUGUGAAAAAAACAGUGCUUUACAAGGGAUUUUAAGGGCUGUGAAAAAACGACCCAAUUUGAAAACUAAUAGCCCCAAAUAUGAAAUAAAAACAAGGCAUCCUAAAAACAAAAUUUUUAAACAAAUUUGAAGGCUGCUGCUGCUGCUGCUGCAUACACAUUCAUCAACCGUUUAUCUUGCCACCGCCAAGGGUUCCAGCCGUGUUAUUUGUUAUAAUAAUAUUGCCGGCAAUUGUCAUUCAUCAUCAUCACUUUCUUUUAAUCCCCUUUAGUAUCUAUCAGCCACCAGCAUAUAUAGCAUCCGUCGAUUAGGGUUUCAUCAUCAAAGCGACCAAAUGGGGAAGAACGAAAAGACAGGACUCGGAAGAGCCCUAGUGAAGCACCACAAUCACAUGAUCCAAGAAACCAAAGAAAAGGGCAAAUUCUACAGGAAGCAACACAAGAAGGUUCUUGAAUCCGUCACCGACGUCAACGACAUCGACGCCGUCAUUCAACCGGCCGAGGAAGCCGAGGCCUACCCCGUCCCUAUCCCCCUCAUCAAUUUGUGAGUUCCUCCUUUUCUUUUCUUUUAAUUAUAAGAAUAACUUGUCUUGUAAUCAGACGUCUUUGUGUAUUGAAGUAUUUGGAUUGUGUAAUAUAUAUUGAUAAUAUUUAAAUGUUACGAAAGGUUUUGAUAUAUAAAUUGAUUUUUGUUCUUAUUUCUCACAGCCUUUUAAUUCUAUCAACAAAUCAAUGGGCAACAUGUCAUUUUAUAUAAUUAUUUUUUUAAAUAAUAAAUAAAGUAGUGAUACUAUAGUAACAGUAAUCACAAAUACUAAUAUAGUAUUGUAAUAUUUUGAUACCAUGGUGUUAUUAUUUUAGUGAUACUAUAGUAAUAGUAAUCACUGACACCACUUACAAGUGUCACUAUUUUUCUGACUCCCAGAUUACUGACACAAUUAAUAAGUGUCAGUAAAAGUAAUUUCUGACACUAUUUUAAAGUCAGUAAAAAUCAUUUUUCUAGUAGUGCCGUCAUCAAUUUGUGAGUUCCUCCUUUUCUUUUCUUUUUUUCAUUAAUCAAUAAAUGAAAUUAUAAAGUUUAAUCUAAUUUUUAUUAUAAUAAUAAUAAUAAUAAUAAUAAUGGGUAUUUAGAGAUGAGGGGUCCAGGAGUAGUACCAGAGAGAUGAUGAUGACGGCGGAGGAGAGGAAGGAGGACGAGGCGUUGCACGCUGGCAACCUUAGAAUCGACCUUUGCAAAAUCCCUCUCUAACUUUUCAAAAUUUACAAAUUUAAUUUAAUAUUUAUCUCAUUUAUCAUAAAAGUCCUUUGGAAGAGUCCAGCUUAGAACACCUCUUCAAAAUUUUGUUUUGUUCUUAAAAUAUCCUAUUUUCAUUUAUGAAAUACAAACUUAAACAUUAAAAUUAAUAUCUUUCCAUAAAAUUUCACCCUUAAAAAAGUUAUUUUUCUAUUUAUAAAAUUCAUGCAAAUCCUAAAAUUUUUAAUUAUUUUCAUUUUUUUAUAUAAUUUCUAUCUCUAUAAAUCUAAACUCUUAUAAUUUUUUUAAAAUAUAUAGAAGAUAGGGGUACAAUAUUUGUUAAAAUAAUAACUUAUUUAAGUGGUUAAAUAAGGUACAUAUUUGGUAUAACUUAUCUAAUGGUUAUAAGUGCUUAUUUAAUUCCAUAAACUCUUUUCAAUUUUUUUUUUGUUGUUGUUUAGUCGUUUUUAGAAUAGAGUUUUUGAAAAUUAAGUAAAUUAUUUUACCUCCAAUAGUAAAAACUUAAAUUUUGGACUUUAGGGAGUAGAGGUUGAAAAGCUUAUUUAAAAUGUCAAAAUAUUUAAAAUAAAUUUAUUUGAUAAUCUUAUUUCAUUGUUUUUAUAAUUUAACUUUAAAAAAUUAUUUGUUAAAAUAAUCUUGUAAUUUUUAAUAAAAGUUCUCAUUGAUAACUAAAUAACUAAAAAAAAUUGUGAAGUUCUACUAAUAAAAAUUCUAUUUAAAUAAAUUUUAUUUAAAAAGUUAUCCGAAACCGGCUGAAAUUUUAUUCAAAAUAAGAAAUAAAUUAACUUAACAUUAGUUAUUUAAAUAAUUUAUGUGAAAAAAACAGUGCUUUACAAGGGAUUUUAAGGGCUGUGAAAAAACGACCCAAUUUGAAAACUAGACGUCUUUGUGUAUUGAAGUAUUUGGAUUGUGUAAUAUAUAUUGAUAAUAUUUAAAUGUUACGAAAGGUUUUGAUAUAUAAAUUGAUUUUUGUUCUUAUUUCUCACAGCCUUUUAAUUCUAUCAACAAAUCAAUGGGCAACAUGUCAUUUUAUAUAAUUAUUUUUUUAAAUAAUAAAUAAAGUAGUGAUACUAUAGUAACAGUAAUCACAAAUACUAAUAUAGUAUUGUAAUAUUUUGAUACCAUGGUGUUAUUAUUUUAGUGAUACUAUAGUAAUAGUAAUCACUGACACCACUUACAAGUGUCACUAUUUUUCUGACUCCCAGAUUACUGACACAAUUAAUAAGUGUCAGUAAAAGUAAUUUCUGACACUAUUUUAAAGUCAGUAAAAAUCAUUUUUCUAGUAGUGCCGUCAUCAAUUUGUGAGUUCCUCCUUUUCUUUUCUUUUUUUCAUUAAUCAAUAAAUGAAAUUAUAAAGUUUAAUCUAAUUUUUAUUAUAAUAAUAAUAAUAAUAAUAAUAAUGGGUAUUUAGAGAUGAGGGGUCCAGGAGUAGUACCAGAGAGAUGAUGAUGACGGCGGAGGAGAGGAAGGAGGACGAGGCGUUGCACGCUGGCAACCUUAGAAUCGACCUUCGCAAAAUCCCUCUCUAACUUUUCAAAAUUUACAAAUUUAAUUUAAUAUUUAUCUCAUUUAUCAUAAAAGUCUCUAUUAAAUUUUAAAAAUAACCAAAACAUUAAGUAUUUUUCUUUAACUUCCAACCCACAAAGAAAUUGUUAUUUUGAAAUUCGUUGCACGCUAACUCUCCUCACACAAAAAAAAAAAUAUAUAUAUAUAUAUAUAUUGAUAGGCUAACAAGAAAAAUAGUUGAUACUAAAAAAGAUAAAUUGUAUUAAUUGAUUUAUUUAUUGAUAACAUUAGCAUUGAUUUUACUAGUUGUCAUGACUACAGUAGUAAAAUGCAUUUUCAACUAUGGAUUUUGUGAAAAAUCUUCUGUGAAAUCAAAUUAGAGAUUAAUAAUUGAGUAAUAUUAUUGUUGCACACGUAGAAAAAGAUUUAUUUUGUAUUCUUGAUGAUAAGUUUAUUUUUUAACAUUUUUAACAUAUGAAAACAUGUCGAGAUCAAUUAUAAAUGUAUUGAAUAUAUUAAUGAAUUUUUAUUUUUGAUACUUGUUACUUAUUGACCUUUUUUAGAUUACAUUAUUAUUUAAACUUAGCCCUUACUAAGAUAAAUUUCUGGCACCGCCACUGCUUUGAACUGUACCAUAAUAGAAUUAUUAAGGAGAGGAACAACCUUCGGACUGUGUCAUGAUAAAAUUAUUAAGGAAAGUCUCAAUUGAUAGAAGAGUUAUGAUCAAUUUCUAAGUAUAAAUAUCAUUAGAUCUCUAAUUGUAAUAUAUCAAAAUAUAAAAUAAAUAAAAAACUAUUUGCAACAUCAUUAUUCUUAUUCUAAUAUCAUGUUUGGAUUUUACCAAAUAAAACUAAAACUCUUCAAAGCGCAUAUCUCAAACUACUACAACUUAUAACUACAUUUUCUAUCAAUUUACUCGUUUUUUUCUAUUUUUUAUUUUUUUUUAAUUUUGUAGACCAAUUUACCACUGUAACGCUAAUUUACCCGUUUUACCUUCAAUCUACGAGUCAUACGUGUGGUUUAGAAAUUUUUUGUCUUAUUUCACAUUUAUUUGGAAUUUAGGUUAUUUAGUUUAAGUCAAUUGCCUCAACUUAAAUCCAACGUGAAAAUGGUUAAAGAGUUGGAUUAUUGGCAUUUUAUGAUUUAGAUAGAAUGAUAUAAGGGUGGGCAUGAGUUGGGUUUGAUAGGGUUAGUGAAACUCUAACCUGGUCUACUUUUUAAUGAGCUAAGAUAAAAUUCAUCUAACUUAACUAAAUAAACUUGUUUAACCCAAUUCUACCCAAACCUUAUAUCGUCUGGUUAAGUUGAUUAUGUUGAAGGUCAAAUCAAAAUUUUAAAUUGAACAAUGAAAAUGAUAUGAAACUUAUUAAAAUCAAAUAUAAAUCUUUUAUAACAUGAAAUUUUCAUUCACUAUCUAGUGUAUGUAAAGAAAGUUAAUAAAUUAACUAUCUUUAAAUUAAGAAAAUUUCCACAAAAAGCAUAUAGACUUUAUUUCUCCUGCAUCUCCUUUUCCAAUUCCAAAUUAAGACUUUUUAGAUAAUUAGCUAGCAUCAUAUACAAAAAUAAAAUGAAAGUGAUAUAUAAUUAUGUGCCGUUAAGUAUUCACUAAAAAAAUAAAAAAAAUUAAAACCAACUUACUUUUAUAGUACAGCAGGAUGCAAGAAUGAAAUAGCCUCUUGUAUUAAAAGAUUAAAAAGAAUAAAAAAUUAGAUAAGCCAUUUAAGUCUUAUUAUUAUUAUUAUUAUUAUUAUUAUUAUAGAUUUCGUUGGGUUAGACUGGUUAAUUAUAAUUUAUCCAACCCAAACAAAUUAUUAAUUAGGUUUGAAAAAAACAGACCCAAUUAAACCACAAUAAUCUGCUCAUGGUGCAUUUACCAAUCAGUAAUUGUAACGGGCUACAAUCAUAAUCAAGAAUGUGAAUAAGAAUAAGUUAUUUAUUUGAGCUGUAGAAAUUGAAGUCGGAAUGAGAUUCAUUUCCAUCGAUGUGUUUAAUUUGUCUUGAAAUCGGAAUGAAUUAUCAUAAUUUCUUAAAUGCCCUUUGUUGAUUAUUGUCAAUUGGUGGUAAUCAUCAUCAUCAUCAUCAUAAUAUUUAUUAAAAUAGUAUUAUAAUUAUGAUUACUAAUUCAUUAUUGUUAUAAUUUAUUAAUUUCAUGAUUUUGUUUUAUGAUUAUUAUUUAUGAAAAUAUCAUAUUUAUUAAAAUAGUAUUAUAAUUAUGAUUACUAAUUCAUUAUUGUUAUAAUUUAUUAAUUUCAUGAUUUUGUUUUAUGAUUAUUAUUUAUGAAAAUAUCAUAUUUAUUAAAAUAGUAUUAUAAUUAUGAUUACUAAUUCAUUAUUGUUAUAAUUUAUUAAUUUCAUGAUUUUGUUUUAUGAUUAUUAUUUAUGAAAAUAUCAUAUUUAUUAAAAUAGUAAUUAAAAUUUAUAAUAAUUAAUUAAAAUAUUUUUAUAGUUAUUAUUUAUUAAAAAAAUUCAAUAUUAUAACAAUUAUGGCACCAUCAACAGCAAAAAAGUUCAAGAAAAACUUUUUUUUUAUACUAUCUAUUUUUUCCCCUUUUUUGAAAAUAAAAGGCGGAAAAAAAAUACAUUUCCCAUUGAGUCUCAACGUCACUGUAGAAGAAAAAAAAAUCAAAACAAAAAGCACCGCCCUGUCUGCCCUUAAUGUUCAUUCCCAAAUGUGAUUUUCUGUCUCAAAUCUCCUAAAUUUUAAGCCAAGAUUCACCAAAUCCGAACCCGAAUCCGCUGGCACGUGAACCGUGAAACCGUCGAUCACAAUCCAAAUAGUUGGGAAUGCAGAUUGUCAAAGAGAUGAGAUGCAGAUUGUCGUUUAGAUUCUGGUGAUGGUAAGGCUGUGGAAGAAACCAAGAAGAGCACCAAAAGCAUCCUUCUAGUUUUAACCCUGAAACUGUCUUCCAACUCCAAAACUUUGCAGAUCGGUUUGGCGCGCAUCGCAUGAGGUAAGCAAUCUAGAAAAUCAUUUUAGAUCUAGUAAGAUCUGGUCCUAAUAUUUGCAAGCAAGUAGCUGAGGGUUUCUGCCAUUUUUUUCUGCCCCCUUACUUUUCUCACUCUUUCGCUUCUAGUAAGGCUCGGAGAUACUGAUCAUGUGGCUUCUAAGCUGGAUGAAAGGGGAUUUUAGUGGCAAGCUUGUGAUUGAGCAGAAUACCUAUUAUAAGAUGCAGUGAGGGACUGCCUUGUGGUGCCAGGGCCCGCCGUCCAGGCCUGAUGAGGAGACUGGUAAGUUGUCAUUGUCGUUGAGGUUUUAUAUUUUCUUAAAAGUUUAUAUCUGAUUAAUGAUUGAUCUUAGCAAAGGACUUGCAACUGCUGGGCUGAGUGAUUUUUGGGUGAUUGUAUUUGUGAAAAGAAUGAAUAUUGGUGAGAGUUAUGACAGAUAUUGAUGUUGUUGUUUAAGAUAAACUAAGGGGUGUAACUAAUCUGUUGUGCAGUUCAAUCGCUUUUGGCAAUUAUUAUCUUUCCGUAGUAUUAUAAGAUAAGAUGGGGUGGAGCUUUAUACUGCAUAUCAAUGCCAUGCUUCUCUUCUAUGUGCUUUUGGACAAACACUUCCUUUACUAUUAGUAAAAAUGGUUGCAGUGUAUCUUAAAUGAUUCUGCAGCUGUGCAGAUCAUCUUUAACUGAUUAAGUUCGAUCUCUAGGCUUAAUUUAUUUUGUUACAAAGGAGCUUAGGUGAUAGAGACAGAUCUUUAAGCUUAAUAAAUGUUGGUUUUAGCACCCAUGCAAAGUCACAUCUUUAACCAUUGAACCUUCCGUGUAACUCAGGUUUCUCGGCUAAUUUUUUGAAUGAGGACAGUCACAGCAUAGACUGUUCUACAACUGCCCUAUUUGAGCUUUUAAAGCUAUCAUAACCUCAUUAAUAGCUUUUGGUAACACAGUAUUCAAAGUCCUUUUAUAAACAACUCUUGCUUCAACCCAACCUCAUUUGUUUACUCACUGCCAUGAAAGUGUUUCUAUCCAAUCAGGUUGUUGCUUGUUCUGCUAUUAACAUGAACUUUGCUGCUGGUGCUGCAUACAAUUAUACAGCAAAAAAUAAACUAAAAAAUAGUAACCAAUUAACCCAGAAAUAGUAGAAAAUUUAACCUAAAAACAGUACCAAAUGAAGCCCAAAACACCAAAAAAAUUUAACCAAAAAAGGUAGCAAAUCAUCCCAAAUACAGCAAAAAAUUUAUCUAAAAUAGCAAAAAAUUAAACUGAAAAACAGCAAUAUAUAAACCCAGAACCAGCAGCAAAUGAAGCCCAAAACACCAGAAAAAUUUACCUGCAAAUAACCAAAAAUAUAACCAAAAAAUAGCAGUAAAUUUAUCUAAAAACAACAAAAAAAUAAACUAAAAAAUAGCAGGCAAUUAACCCAAAAAUAGCAAAAAAAUUAACCUAAAAACAGCACCAAAUGAAGCCCAAAACACUAGAAAAAAUUUAACCAAAAACGGCAACAAAUCAUCCCAAAUACAACAAAAAUGGCAAAAAAUUUAACUGAAAAAUAGUAGUAUAUUUACCUAGAAACAGCAAAACAUUUAACCCAGCACCAGCAGCAAAUGAAGCCCAAAACACCAAAAAAAAAUUACCUGCAAAUAGCAAAAAAUAUAACCAAAAAAUAGCAAUAAAUUUAUCUAAAAAUAUCAGAAAAAUAAACUGAAAAAUAGUAGGCAAUUAACCCAAAAACAGCAAAAACUUUUACCUAAAAUUGCACCGAAUGAAGCCCAAAACACUAGAAAAAUUUAACCAAAAAUAGCAGUAAAUCAUCCCAAAUACAGCAGAAAAUUUAUCCAAAAACAGCAAAAAAAUUAAUUGAAAAACAGCAGUAUAUUUAUCCAGAAUCAAUAGCAAAUGAAGCCCAAAACACCAAAAAAAAUACCUGAAAAUAGUAAAAAAUAUAACCCAAAAACAGCAUUAAAUUUAUCUAAAAACAGUAGAAAAAUAAACUAAAAAACAGCAGCCAAUUUACCCAGAAGCAGCAAAAAAUUUAACCUAAAAACAGCACCAAAUGAAGCCCAAAACACCAGAAAAAUUUAACCAAAAACAGCAGCAAAUCAUCCCAAAUACAGCAGAAAAUUUGCCUAGAAACAAAAGCAUAUCAAACCCAAAAUUUUUCUGCAACUUCACAUAAUUCUCUAUCACUUCAAUUAUAUUUGAGAUAAAAACCCACUUCCAGUUUCAAAAUUGUGAUCCAUUACCCUUAAUUUAUUUGCUUGUGUCUAAUGUAUAUUUUCAUUUGUUUAUCAACCAAAAUCAAUGCAAACAAUAAUACAAAAUCAAGGUCACAAUAGUUAGCAUAACUCAUAUAGCACUCUAUAUCGUUCACCCACACUCGAAGCUUUUCCUAAACUAUGUAAUCACUCAUUUCAUUGUAUAAGACAACAUAAGUCACACCACGUUGCACCGCAAUCAAAUACACUUCAAUUAGAAAUGAAAGCCAUUGAACCUAAAAGUAUGCAGCAAAAAUAUACAUACUGAAAUCAAGAUUAUGAAAACUAAUUCCAAAAGUAAUUCUUGUUUGAACUUUGAAAGCAUGAAAAUAUCUUCUAUUCAUGUUGGUGUUGACUCAUGCUUUUGAUGCUUGUUUGUGUUUUUGGGGCCAAAUACAAAUGUGUGAGUGUGAGAUCUCUUGUCACAUAAUACAUUGCUUUUAAGGGUUGUGACUGUUCCUGAAGGUUCAAUUAUUUUCCCUAAUAAGUACCAAUAGAGUCUGUCAAACCUAUGGACCAAGCUAUAGGUACCAAUAGGUGCCAUGCAGUCAAUUAAGAGAGGAAUACCAGCUUACCAAGUGUGCAAGUCAAUCUAUAAAUCCAAAAGUUUAUGAUAACCACUUGCAGUUAGAGGGAAAAAAAUCUUUUAAAGGGUACAAGAGGUUUAGUGCAGACCACAAUUUGUGAUUGGUUGUUAACAGAAAUGAAAUAUAAUAAUGGAAUAAUACAAGCAUGGCAUAAAUUUUUUAUUCAUAACUCAGUAAUCGAGAAGUGCAUACAAAUGAUAAUUGAAUGCUUGAUGCGGAGCAGCAUUUAGAAACUAUUCUUAUGGUCUACACCUUUCUCAAUAAGCAUUAUAAAUUUAGUUUCAAAUCAAAUUACAGUAUCAGAAAAUAAAGCUUGCAGCCAAUAAUGGAGAAAAAAGACAGUGUCAGAAGAAAUUUUCAAGAAUCUGAGCUUCAAAUAAGUGAGUAUUAAAGACUUAACGGGAAAUCCCCAUUCAAUUCCCAUAUAAAAGAGAAAGAAGAAUGUAUGUGUGAUCUUUAACUAAACACUGACAUUAAGUAAACCCAAACACUUUGCACAGGAACUUCUUAAUUAACCCAAAGAGAGUUAAGUGAAAUUUCAGAAACUCCAAGAGAGCAGAUGAAUAACAAAAAAAAAAAAAAAAAACUGAUGGCCAAUCAAAAUCGAAGAAAAAAAAAAGAAAUAACAAAACAAUAAUAAUAAUAAUAAUUAUGAAGAGCAAAGUGGGUCAAAAACACACGCUGUGUUCAGGCAAUGCCAUGUGCCCACAUGCUUCAAUAGAAAAGAAAAAUAAUAAUAAAAAAAAUGUUUGCAUACUCUUUGCUUCCUUCCUAUUGAGAAAUUUUGACAAGCAAAUUCUCGCUUCCUUCCUAUUGAGAAAUUUUGACAAGCAAAUUCUCGUAGAGAAAUAAUAACUCCAACAACAGCAACAAGUUAUAACAACUGAAUAUCAUCAACAGGAAGAAGAAGAAGAAAGAGGAGGAGGCAAUGAUUUGAACAGAAACACCCUUGAAAGAAAGCAGUAAUGGGUUCGUGAGAGCAGAUCAAAUUGAUCUGAAAAGCUUAGAUGAGCAACUGGAGAGGCAUCUGAACAGAGCAUUGAAUAUGGAAAAAUCCAAGAAACAGAGAAAUUCUGAUGAUAAUAUUUUGGUCACUACCGCCGCCGCCGCCGCCGCUUCUGCUAAUGCCACUGCUACUGCAAUCGGCAAUGCUUCUAAUUUUCUCAAGAGGCAAUGGCAAGAGUGCACAGGAACUUCUUAAUUCCGUGAACAAAUGCAGAAAUUAUGACUAUGAAAGAAAACUAUGCAAACCCAAACACUUACAGCGACUUCUUAAUUCUUAGAUUCAAUGCCAUGAACAAAUUAUGACCAUGAAAGAAAACUAAAAUGCUUAGCAAUUCGAACGAGACAGAGGAUUAAACUUACCUUGCACAGGUGACGACGACCAAACCAAGAUAGAGGCAGCAACAGCAGAGACUCAGUAAUUCGAACAAGAUAGAAAAUCAAGACACAAAAUCAAUUCAAGAAUGGCUGCAAUCUGCAGACGUAUGAGAGGUUUCUUUAGGAAUUCGUUAAUUAGGGAUUAAUGAAAAAUAUGAACGGAAGUUUUCCCUUUUUAUUUUUUUAUUUCUUUAAAAGGUAAAUCCUCUUUUUUUUUCCUUUAAACUUACACCGGUAAAAUUUUAUUUUAAAAAAGUACUUAACCGGCUUAUAACCGGUUAGAUUUAAUUUAAUUAAAAAUUUUAUUAUUUCAUGAUUAUUGUGAAUCGUUGAUUUAAUCUAACGGUCCAUAAUAAUUACGACAUCGAUGCCGUAAUUUUAAUUACGGCAUCAUAGAAUUUUCCACAUCAUUAAUCUAAAGUUCUCCUAGUUCGAGGAUCCAAAAACGAACACUAUGAAUUCAGUGUAAAUUGGGUUUGGGAUCUUGAAUGACUGUGAAAGUUGGAAUGCAUUUUUUUUAAUUUUUGUGCAUUUUUUUUGGAGAGAGAAAUUGUUGUUUAAAUAAAUAUUAUCUUCAGAAUUAAAGUGAGUGCUGAUAGCAGCAAGUGAUUUUAUAGUAUAAUUUAAUAGUGUUUACUUAAAAAAGAGUAACAAUAGGAUUUUAGAGAUGUGACAAUAGUAUUCCCAGUAAUGCUACACAUCCCAAAUUUCUUAUUCCAAAAAGUUAUCCCAAAUGAUGUGUCAUUAAUUGAGUGGUUGAUAAUUAUUUACAAUAUCCAAGUGAAUUAAUUGUAUUAUCUUACCAACCAAUUGAUAAAUGCCACAUCAUUUGGGAUAACUUUUUGAGAUAAAAAAUUUGGGAUGUGUAGUAUUAUUGUAGUAUUCCAACUCUUAAGCAAAUUGCAAAUGGUGACAAAAUCACCCAAAACGUCGCUUUGGGUGCGUGUGAGUUUUUUCAACCGUUUAGCAAACUUAUCAUUUAUGUAAUAAUAUAAAACUACAUCUUUCAAGCAUUGCAUUGAAACAUAAUCACAGAAUGCGCUUAUGGUCUUACAAAAACAUGUGCUACGUACUAGCAAGAUGUUAUUAUUGUUGCUAUAUAUUGCAGUUCCAUGCAUGCUUGUUGAACAAUUUAUGGAUGACCGCGGCUACGUGGCCCACUCGGAGGUGGUGGUGGAGGCCAUGGAUGAUCAGAUAUAGAACCUGGCGGCGGCGGCGGUGGUGGACGAGCAAAGGAUGGUUGCAAAAGAAGAAGCAUUAUUAUGCAGCAUAACUCCAAAAGACACCAAAGCAGAUUGUUCAGCUUCAUCUCAUUUCUCAUUUUAAUUGCCCUCUUACCACAUAAGAGUUUUCUAAAGAUGUAUACAAAAUUAUUAGAUGAAUGAGAAGAUAUAAGUUAUUAUAUAGGCCCCUUUCCUUCAACCAUUUUCCAGUCAAUAAAUUAUAAAAAACAAACGCAA